UACAGAGGGUGCGAGCGUUGUCCGGAAUCACUGGGCGUAAAGGGCGCGUAGGUGGUGGCUUAAGCGUGCGGUGAAAGCUCGGAGCUCAACUCCGAGUCGGCCGUGCGAACUGGGCUCACUGGAGCAUAGUAGAGGCAGGUGGAAUUCCGGGUGUAGCGGUGGAAUGCGUAGAGAUCCGGAAGAACGCCGGUGGCGAAGGCGGCCUGCUGGGCUAUGGCUGACACUGAGGCGCGACAGCGUGGGGAGCAAACAGG
RNAcentral lists this ribosomal RNA (254 nucleotides) under uncultured bacterium. RNAcentral's name for it is "partial 16S ribosomal RNA". It matches the Rfam family "Bacterial small subunit ribosomal RNA", at positions 524 to 776 of the family's 1533-position model. The record is from RNAcentral.